GGCCCCAUCGUAUAGCGGCCUAGUACGCUGGCCUCUCACGCCGGUAACACGGGUUCGAAUCCCGUUGGGGUCACCA
RNAcentral lists this transfer RNA (76 nucleotides) under Aurantimicrobium minutum. Its description in RNAcentral is "tRNA-Glu". It matches the Rfam family "tRNA". From Rfam's summary of the family: Transfer RNA (tRNA) molecules are approximately 80 nucleotides in length. Their secondary structure includes four short double-helical elements and three loops (D, anti-codon, and T loops). RNAcentral also lists the same sequence under 1 other name. The record is from RNAcentral. Lineage: Bacteria; Bacillati; Actinomycetota; Actinomycetes; Micrococcales; Microbacteriaceae.